GAGUGCGGGCCUCUGGGUCCAACCUCCCAUCCGUGUCUAUCUGUACCCUGUUGCUUCGGCGUGGCCACGGCCCGCCGAAGACUAACAUUUGAACACUGUCUGAAGUUUGCAGUCUGAGUUUUUAGUUAAACAAUAAUUAAAACUUUCAACAACGGAUCUCUUGGUUCCGGCAUCGAUGAAGAACGCAGCGAAAUGCGAUAAUUAAUGUGAAUUGCAGAAUUCAGUGAAUCAUCGAGUCUUUGAACGCACAUUGCGCCCCCUGGUAUUCCGGGGGGCAUGCCUGUCCGAGCGUCAUUGCUGCCCUCAAGCACGGCUUGUGUGUUGGGCUUCCGUCCCUGGUAACGGGGACGGGCCCAAAAGGCAGUGGCGGCACCAUGUCUGGUCCUCGAGCGUAUGGGGCUUUGUCACCCGCUCCCGUAGGUCCAGCUGGCAGCUAGCCUCGCAACCAAUCUUUUUAACCAGGUUGACCUCGGAUCAGGUAGGGAUACCCGCU
This 493-nucleotide ribosomal RNA is filed under the name fungal isolate from Newtonia buchananii wood. RNAcentral describes it as "eukaryotic LSU rRNA". The stretch from base 141 to 294 matches the Rfam family "5.8S ribosomal RNA". The record is from RNAcentral. Lineage: Eukaryota; Fungi.